GAUGAACGCUGGCGGCGUGCCUAAUACAUGCAAGUCGAGCGAACGGACGAGAAGCUUGCUUCUCUGAUGUUAGCGGCGGACGGGUGAGUAACACGUGGAUAACCUACCUAUAAGACUGGGAUAACUUCGGGAAACCGGAGCUAAUACCGGAUAAUAUUUUGAACCGCAUGGUUCAAAAGUGAAAGACGGUCUUGCUGUCACUUAUAGAUGGAUCCGCGCUGCAUUAGCUAGUUGGUAAGGUAACGGCUUACCAAGGCAACGAUGCAUAGCCGACCUGAGAGGGUGAUCGGCCACACUGGAACUGAGACACGGUCCAGACUCCUACGGGGGGCAGCAGUAGGGAAUCUUCCGCAAUGGGCGAAAGCCUGACGGAGCAACGCCGCGUGAGUGAUGAAGGUCUUCGGAUCGUAAACUCUGUUAUUAGGGAAGAACAUAUGUGUAAGUAACUGUGCACAUCUUGACGGUACCUAAUCAGAAAGCCACGGCUAACUACGUG
Molecule: ribosomal RNA, 496 nt
Filed under: uncultured bacterium
Lineage: Bacteria
Description: partial 16S ribosomal RNA
Rfam family: Bacterial small subunit ribosomal RNA
Source: RNAcentral